Molecule: ribosomal RNA, 483 nt
Filed under: uncultured bacterium
Lineage: Bacteria
Description: partial 16S ribosomal RNA
Rfam family: Bacterial small subunit ribosomal RNA
Source: RNAcentral
GACGAACGCUGGCGGCGUGCUUAACACAUGCAAGUCGAACGCUGAAGCUCAGCUUUUUUCGGGUGGAUGAGUUGCCAACGGGUGGGUAACACGCGAGUAACCUGCCCCCUUCUUUGGGAUAACGCCCGGAAACGGGUGCUAAUUCUUGAUAUUUACUGGCCUUCGCUUGGGGGUUGGUGGUUAGGGGUUUGCUUGGGUGGGAUGGGCUCGUGGCCUUUCAGCUUGUUGGUGGGUUGAUGGGGUACCAAGGCUUUGACGGGUAGCCGGCGUGACGGGGUGACCGGUGACAUAGGGACGGAGAUAAGGCCCACACUACUACGGGAGGCAGAAGUGGCGAAUAUUGGCGAAUGGGUGAAAGCGUGAUGCAGCGUCGGUGAGUGAGGGAUGGGGUUCUUAGAGUUGUGAACUUCUUUAGGUAAUGGUGAGGCCGAAACAAUGGUUGUAGUGAGGGUAGUGGGUAAAGAAGCGACGGCUAACUACGUG